CGAGUGAGCAGUAAGGGCGCGGGGUGGAUGCCUGGGCACAGGACGGCGAAGAAGGACGUGGCAAGCUGCGAAAAGCCGGGGGGAGCUGCAAGCGAGCGUUGAUCCCCGGGUGUCCGAAUGGGGAAACCCGGCCGGGGUGAUGCCCGGUCAUCGUGUGGCUGAAUACAUAGGCUGUGCGAGGCGAACCAGGGGAACUGAAACAUCUAAGUACCCUGAGGAAGAGGAAACAACAUGUGAUUCUCCGAGUAGCGGCGAGCGAAAGGGGAGGAGCCCAAACCGUGGGGGCGUGACAGGCUGCAGCCGUUGUCCCUGUGGGGUUGUAGGGCGGAUCUGGAGGGGCCUGCAGGUUCUUCGGAUAGCGUACUUGAGGGAGCCGAAGCGCGUUGGAACGCGCCACCGCAGGGGGUGAGAGUCCCGUAGGCGGAGCUUGAGUCGUUGUCUGGGAUCCGUACCUGAGUAGGUCGGGACACGUGAAAUCCCGAUUGAAGCUGGCAGGACCAUCUGCCAAGGCGAAAUACGUUCCUGUGACCGAUAGUGAACCAGUACCGUGAGGGAAAGGUGAAAAGCACGCCGGGAGGCGAGGUGUCAGGCCUGACCGCGUGCCUUUUGCAUUAUGAUCCGGCGAGUUCGACCUGGCUGGCGAGGUUAAGCCGUUCAGCGGCGGAGCCGAAGCGAAAGCGAGUCUGAAUAGGGCGUCAGAGUCGGUCGGGCGAAGACCCGAAACCAGAGUGAUCUAUCCAUGGCCAGGCUGAAGCGGGGGUAAUGCCUCGUGGAGGGCCGAACCGUUGUGGGUUGAAAACCGCUCGGAUGAGCUGUGGAUAGGGGUGAAAGGCCAAUCAAACCUGGAGAUAAGAGCACUGGAUGGGCUAGGGCCCUUACCCGGGUACCAACCCCAACCAAACUCCGAAUGCCCGUCAGUUGGUCUCAGGGAGGCAGGGUGCGGGCGAUAAUGUUCGUACGCGAGAGGGAAAGAACCCAGACCCUCGGCUAAGGUCCCCAAGUGCAAGCUAAGUGAGAAAGGAUGUGAAUCUGCGUAGACAACUGGGAGGUUGGCUUAGAAGCAGCCAUUCCUUGAAAGAGUGCGUAAUAGCUCACCAGUCAAGCGGGUUUGCGCCGAUAAUGGUUGCUGCGGGGUAGGGGAGCGUUGUCUGAGCAUGGAAGCGGGGCCGGAAGGCUACCCGUGGAGCGCAGGCAAGUGAGAAUGCCGGAAUGAGUACACGAUAAACGGGGUGAGAACCCCCGUCGCCGAAAGCCCGAGGGUUCCUGAGCCAUGUCGAUCAGCUCAGGGUCAGUCGGCCCCUAAGGUGAGGCCGAAAGGCGUAGCCGAUGGGAAACGGGUCAAGAUUCCCGUACCGGCCACGAGCCGUU
This is a non-coding RNA of Gemmatimonas sp. SG8_23, 1368 nucleotides long. Lineage: Bacteria; Pseudomonadati; Gemmatimonadota; Gemmatimonadia; Gemmatimonadales; Gemmatimonadaceae. The record is from Rfam.